GUAUUUAACGCAAAAUUCCUAUUGUCUUCAAAGGUGAGGGUGCCAGACAUGUAGCAGAGCAGACAUAGAAGAUGCAUCUCAUGACAAACCCCAGACCUGAGAAGCUGUGGCAAAACCCUCGUAUAUUCUGAAAACAAACUGCUGCAACUAACAUGCAAAAAUCUCACCAAAUCCUUUGCUAAAAGCGGCUUUCCCUUGGGUGACAAUGCUGAUUAUCCGGCUGGGAUUGACAAGUAUAGUUGAAGAAAUUAAUUUCCUUUGCAGUUGCCCUCCUGCAGGGGAGGCAGCAUGUCAGAGCGGGACCUCGACGCGGGCGUUUUCACACGACGGCAAACCUCGCCGUCCGAGGGGAGCACCCGAUUCCCGUGUCGCCGCACAGCGAGGCACCUGCUGUUCAUGGGCACCCUGCAAUAGAUCAAACCAAGCCUGCUUCAGAGAAAAGGCCUCCUCCAGCUGCUUGCACCAGAUCUGAGGUAAGUUUUUUUUUUUUUUUUUUUUUUGCAGAAGCUGAGGAGUU
RNAcentral lists this long non-coding RNA (517 nucleotides) under Apteryx rowi (Okarito brown kiwi). RNAcentral's name for it is "lncRNA (ENSARWG00000015282.1)". Lineage: Eukaryota; Metazoa; Chordata; Aves; Apterygiformes; Apterygidae. The record is from RNAcentral.